UACGAACCGUACAAACGUUAUUCGGAAUCACUGGGCUUAAAGGGUGCGUAGGCGGCCAUGUAAGUGAGGUGUGAAAUCCCUCGGCUCAACCGAGGAACUGCGCUUCAUACUGCAUGGCUUGAGGGAGACAGGGGUAAGCGGAACUGAUGGUGGAGCGGUGAAAUGCGUUGAUAUCAUCAGGAACACCGGAGGCGAAAGCGGCUUACUGGGUCUCUUCUGACGCUGAGGUACGAAAGCUAGGGGAGCGAACGGG
Molecule: ribosomal RNA, 253 nt
Filed under: uncultured bacterium
Lineage: Bacteria
Description: partial 16S ribosomal RNA
Rfam family: Bacterial small subunit ribosomal RNA
Source: RNAcentral